Athalia rosae (coleseed sawfly) is the source of this 880-nucleotide long non-coding RNA. RefSeq lists it as uncharacterized. The record is from RefSeq and is a predicted model, not a curated record. The transcript has 2 exons. NCBI's taxonomy places the organism in Eukaryota, Metazoa, Arthropoda, Insecta, Hymenoptera, Athaliidae.
UCGUUGGCAAACAGGAUCAAGUUUUUGAUGAGGAUAUACUUAUUUGCAUAUACAUGAACCGUUGAAAUAUUAAUUUGCAUAAAUAGCGAUAGCUUUUUCGCUUGAAUUUUUUUGUUCCAUUGGAAUUUAUUUAACGUGCCGUUACGAAUUAUUGCCAAAGAUUAUUUUAGAUUUACGAUGAGAGGGUCGUUCAGUCACCAUAUCAAGAGACUCGUCGAGUCUCGCGCUAAGUACAUUAAGAGAGCACCGGACGGGAUCGGUUCACAGUUGCUCGGUCACUAGCCCCGUCUAGUAAUAUUAUAAAUUGCCAAUUAAUCCGUGGCUGGACUCUGCAGCCUCUGGACUUGGAGUUACGAGUCGCUAUUGGCAUUACGGCAAUAUAGGUAAUUAAACCGAGGAGUAAUAUUAUAUAAGGAUUGGUGAUUUUUCAAAGAAAUCUCUCAUCAUCAUAUGAAGAAGAUUUAUUAAGGAUUUCCUUUACAUUAUAAUAAAUUUGGCAUCGUCAUAAGUUGUACGUAUCCUAUUUAAAAGUGUGCGUAAAAUUGCAGCUGAAUAACAAAUAUCUACAUUACUUACAUGAAAUAUCAAUUAUUGUUUUAAAUAUUAUAAUUAAUUAAAAAUAAAUGAUUUAUAAUCAAUUAUGUAGCUUUACAAUUUAAAAUAUUGACUGCCGAAGUCUAUCGAUUUUGUACAACAUUUCACGUGUGUUACUUUUGCUGCAGUAUAUUUUCCAUACGUAGGAUAUACUGCGAUAAGCAUUGAGCAUAAAGAUUUGAAAAUAUAAUUUGAGUAUCGUUCCAUAAAUAUCGCGUAACUCGCAUUUCAUCUCACUAAAAUCUACAUACACAAUAGGUAUGCCUGAAUAAGUAUACAAGUAUAC